CCCGCGGUAGCUCAGCCUGGUAGAGCUUCCGGCUGUAGACCGGAGUGUCGUCGGUUCAAUUCCGACCCGCGGGA
This 74-nucleotide transfer RNA is filed under the name Nitrososphaerota archaeon. RNAcentral describes it as "tRNA-Tyr". It matches the Rfam family "tRNA". Rfam says of the family: Transfer RNA (tRNA) molecules are approximately 80 nucleotides in length. Their secondary structure includes four short double-helical elements and three loops (D, anti-codon, and T loops). Further hydrogen bonds mediate the characteristic L-shaped molecular structure. tRNAs have two regions of fundamental functional importance: the anti-codon, which is responsible for specific mRNA codon recognition, and the 3' end, to which the tRNAs corresponding amino acid is attached (by aminoacyl-tRNA synthetases). tRNAs cope with the degeneracy of the genetic code in two manners: having more than one tRNA (with a specific anti-codon) for a particular amino acid; and 'wobble' base-pairing, i.e. permitting non-standard base-pairing at the 3rd anti-codon position. Lineage: Archaea; Thermoproteati; Nitrososphaerota. The record is from RNAcentral. RNAcentral also lists the same sequence under 1 other name.